AUGGGGAUAGCCAUUAGAAAUAGUGGGUAAUACCGAAUACGUUCGCGGGGGGAAGGGUCCUGUGAGGAAAGGGUGCUACGGCACCGGCCUGAGAUGAGCUCGCGUCCCAUUAGCUAGUUGGUGAGGUAAGGGCCCACCAAGGCGAUGAUGGGUAGCCGGCCUGAGAGGGUGUACGGCCACACUGGGACUGAGAUACGGACCAGACUCAUACGGGGAGGCAGCAGCUAAGAAUAUUCCGCAAUGGACGAAAGUCUGACGGAGCGACGCCGCGUGGAUGAAGAAGGCCGAAAGGUUGUAAAGUUCUUUUGCGAGGGAAGAAUAACCGCAGGAGGGAAUGCCUGUGGGAUGACAUGAACUUGCGAAUAAGCCCCGGCCAACUACGUGCCAGCAGCCGCGGUAACACGUAGGGGGCGAGCGUUGUUCGGAAUUACUGGGCGUAAAGGGCAUGUAGGCGGUCUGGUAAGCCUGGCGUGAAAGACCACAGCUUAACUGUGGGGUUGCGUUGGGAACUGCUGGGCUUGAGUGACGGAGAGGGAGCUGGAAUUCCUGGUGUAGGGGUGAAAUCUGUAGAUAUCAGGAAGAACACCGAUGGCGAAGGCAAGCUCCUGGCCGAUGACUGACGCUGAGGUGCGAAAGUGUGGGGAUCAAACAGGAUUAGAUACCCUGGUAGUCCACACGGUAAACGAUGUGCACUAGGUGCUGGGGCGGUAGCCUCGGUGCCGGAGCGAACGUGGUAAGUGCACCGCCUGGGGAGUAUGCUCGCAAGGGUGAAACUCAAAGGAAUUGACGGGGGCCCGCACAAGCGGUGGAGCAUGUGGUUUAAUUCGAUGGUACGCGAGGAACCUUACCUGGGUUU
RNAcentral lists this ribosomal RNA (856 nucleotides) under uncultured bacterium. RNAcentral describes it as "bacterial SSU rRNA". It matches the Rfam family "Bacterial small subunit ribosomal RNA", at positions 137 to 982 of the family's 1533-position model. The record is from RNAcentral.